GACGUAGGGCGCGAGCGUUGUCCGGAUUUAUUGGGCGUAAAGAGCUCGUAGGCGGCUCGUUGCGUCGGCUGUGAAAACCCGCAGCUCAACUGUGGGCUUGCAGCCGAUACGGGCGGGCUGGGAUUCGGUAGGGGAGACUGGAAUUCCUGGUGUAGCGGUGAAAUGCGCAGAUAUCGGGAGGAACACCAAUGGCGAAGGCAGCUCGCUGGGACGGUACUGACGCUGAGACGCGAAAGCGUGGGGAGCGAACAGG
RNAcentral lists this ribosomal RNA (253 nucleotides) under uncultured bacterium. RNAcentral describes it as "partial 16S ribosomal RNA". It matches the Rfam family "Bacterial small subunit ribosomal RNA", at positions 524 to 776 of the family's 1533-position model. The record is from RNAcentral.